GGCUUCAAACAGACUUCAAGAACAGAUGAUGUCUAAGCGUGAGCAAAGGGCAGAAGCCCCUCCAUCUGACAGCUUUUCCAGAGGACAAAGCGACCACCGUGGAGGUGGAGCACAUGUGUGUGAGCCUAAGAGCGGCAGGCCGGGGAGACAGACUCACAAUCCACAGCUUUUUGAAUUUUGAGCCACACAAAUACUCUUGUUGGCAGAAGAGCACCUAGUAAAAAGGGCUGGGAUGUAGUCUGUGGUGUGGAGCUUUUCUAGUACAAAAACAAAGACAGGACAACCAGAAAUAAAUGCAUCAUA
Molecule: long non-coding RNA, 303 nt
Organism: Mastomys coucha (southern multimammate mouse)
Lineage: Eukaryota; Metazoa; Chordata; Mammalia; Rodentia; Muridae
Exons: 2
Source: RefSeq, a predicted model, not a curated record